GAUGAACGCUGGCGGCGUGCCUAAUACAUGCAAGUCGAGCGAACAGACGAGGAGCUUGCUCCUCUGACGUUAGCGGCGGACGGGUGAGUAACACGCGGAUAACCUACCUAUAAGACUGGGAUAACUUCGGGAAACCGGAGCUAAUACCGGAUAACAUGUUGAACCGCAUGGUUCAACAGUGAAAGACGGUCUUGCUGUCACUUAUAGAUGGAUCCGCGCCGCAUUAGCUAGUUGGUAAGGUAACGGCUUACCAAGGCAACGAUGCGUAGCCGACCUGAGAGGGUGAUCGGCCACACUGGAACUGAGACACGGUCCAGACUCCUACGGGAGGCAGCAGUAGGGAAUCUUCCGCAAUGGGCGAAAGCCUGACGGAGCAACGCCGCGUGAGUGAAGAAGGUCUUCGGAUCGUAAAACUCUGUUAUUAGGGAAGAACAAAUGUGUAAGUAACUAUGCACGUCCUGACGGUACCUAAUCAGAAAGCCACGGCUAACUACGUG
This 497-nucleotide ribosomal RNA is filed under the name uncultured bacterium. RNAcentral's name for it is "partial 16S ribosomal RNA". It matches the Rfam family "Bacterial small subunit ribosomal RNA", at positions 28 to 507 of the family's 1533-position model. The record is from RNAcentral.